Molecule: small RNA, 624 nt
Filed under: Pongo abelii (Sumatran orangutan)
Lineage: Eukaryota; Metazoa; Chordata; Mammalia; Primates; Hominidae
Description: processed transcript
Source: RNAcentral
CAGCUUGUUUCUGAACUUGAGGCAGAAAGAAAUGCUAACAUAGCUGCAGCUGCCAGACUUGUGAAACACUUUAAACUACUGUUUGUGAACUGAGCCACACUAGAUGUAAUUGAGAAGCUCAGCAAUCAGUCACAUCAGGAUGAGCUUGCACACCCAUGGUGAGGGAGAACCAGGCAGCUCUUAGUGAUGCUCCUGAAGCUAAGAGUAGGCUCACUGCCUAAACUAGCUACAGGAGCAGAAUCAGGAGUUUCCAAUGUGAAGCUUCUAACUCAAGAGAACAACUGAAGCUUUCAGGCCUGGGGCAGACAGCUGUGCUCAUGUGCCCCUGGAAGCCACGACGCUACCUUUGGCAGCAUGCGGUACUUCUUCAUCUCUGAGGAACCCAGAAAUAAGAGCCAGGAAGCAUGGAGGCUAGUGCAAAACAUGAAUCCUGAAAGCAUGCUAGAGAAGUCAGCACUGGCUACUGCAUCUUCAUCUCUUCCUUGCAAUGGUUCAGUCUCCAGCAAACCUUUAGGCAAAAUUGAUAAAACAGAAUGCAAUUUUUAAAGUGAAUUUAAACCAACUUCUGCUUCCAUAGUGUGGAGGACUAGAUGCACUGACAGACCCUCCCGCCGAAAAACAACU